UACGUAGGUGGCAAGCGUUGUCCGGAUUUAUUGGGCUUAAAGGGUGCGUAGGCGGUCUUUUAAGUCAGUGCUGAAAUACUCCAGCUUAACUGGAGGGGUGGCAUUGAUACUGGAAGACUUGAGUGUAGUCGAGGUAGGCGGAAUUGACGGUGUAGCGGUGAAAUGCUUAGAUAUCGUCAAGAACACCGAUAGUGAAGACAGCUUACUAGGCUACAACUGACGCUGAGGCACGAAAGUGUGGGGAGCAAACAGG
This 253-nucleotide ribosomal RNA is filed under the name uncultured bacterium. RNAcentral's name for it is "partial 16S ribosomal RNA". It matches the Rfam family "Bacterial small subunit ribosomal RNA", at positions 524 to 776 of the family's 1533-position model. The record is from RNAcentral.